AGCGAACGCUGGCGGCAGGCCUAACACAUGCCAGUCGAACGGAUCCUUCGGGAUUAGUGGCGGACGGGUGAGUAACACGUGGGAACGUGCCCUUUGGUUCGGAACAACUCAGGGAAACUUGAGCUAAUACCGGAUGUGCCCUUCGGGGGAAAGAUUUAUCGCCAUUGGAGCGGCCCGCGUCUGAUUAGCUAGUUGGUGAGGUAACGGCCCACCAAGGCGACGAUCAGUAGCUGGUCUGAGAGGAUGAUCAGCCACACUGGGACUGAGACACGGCCCAGACCCCUACGGGAGGCAGCAGUGGGGAAUCUUGCGCAAUGGGCGAAAGCCUGACGCAGCCAUGCCGCGUGAAUGAUGAAGGUCUUAGGAUUGUAAAAUUCUUUCAGCGGGGACGAUAAUGACGGUACCCGCAGAAGAAGCUCCGGCUAACUUCGUG
RNAcentral lists this ribosomal RNA (433 nucleotides) under uncultured bacterium. RNAcentral's name for it is "partial 16S ribosomal RNA". It matches the Rfam family "Bacterial small subunit ribosomal RNA", at positions 29 to 507 of the family's 1533-position model. The record is from RNAcentral.